ACUACAAUGGCUUAAAACAGCAUUGAAAAUUAAACAUUAAAAACGUAAAAGUAAACAAAACUUGGACGAUGAUGAUAAAUGGACAAUGGACAUAAAACUGCGAUAAAGAUGAAAAAGGAGAAACGAAACAACAUACAUAUAAAUCAACAAGGUAAAAACCGUCAUUUGGUAGUUAAAGAAAAAAGAAGACUACACAACUCUACAAAAGAUAUCUGUUUGUAAUUUAUUAUAGAGCUGGAGAACAUGCAUCAUUUGUUUUAGAAAUAUACGAAUGAAUACAAAACAA
This is a long non-coding RNA of Nymphalis io (European peacock), 286 nucleotides long. RefSeq lists it as uncharacterized. Lineage: Eukaryota; Metazoa; Arthropoda; Insecta; Lepidoptera; Nymphalidae. The record is from RefSeq and is a predicted model, not a curated record. The transcript is spliced from 2 exons.